RNAcentral lists this long non-coding RNA (467 nucleotides) under Androctonus crassicauda. The record is from RNAcentral. Lineage: Eukaryota; Metazoa; Arthropoda; Arachnida; Scorpiones; Buthidae.
GUUCUUUGAUUUAAGAGUUUUUCAAAUAUGAAGUAUCAAAAAAUUGAAAAUAUGAACAUUAUUUGUAAUAAAUAAAUGUUAAACAAUUGUAAACACAACAUAUGUAGUAUUUACAAUUGUUUAUAUUGUAAAUACAUUACAUAUACAGUAUGUAUUGCAUUUAUACAUAUGUAUUGUUGCUUUUAUAGCAAACACAUUGGUGUCUGCUAUGAAAAGAGAGAGAUCAAAAUGCAAGACUUGAGAAGCAAAUGUACCAUGCCUUCUGUUUUUCUAUUCCAAUAAAACCAUGUCUUCCAUGAUGUUUAUCAUAGCUUUCAUUCUGGGAUUAUGUCUAAAACAUAUCAGUUCAAAUGUAUAAAAGUUGAUUUACUAAUCUGUUGAUGAUUCCUCUGAUCUGUGUUGGUGACAUGGGGAAUUUAUCCAUAUAAGAAUUUACCCAUAUUUCUUUCUUUUCUUAUGCUUUUCUG